This 255-nucleotide long non-coding RNA is filed under the name Erythranthe guttata (spotted monkey flower). RNAcentral's name for it is "long non-coding RNA (EGUT_LNC003930)". Lineage: Eukaryota; Viridiplantae; Streptophyta; Magnoliopsida; Lamiales; Phrymaceae. The record is from RNAcentral.
UUCUCUCUCGCCUACUCUCUCCUUCUCCCUCUCGGUUCUUGGCUGAAAUUCCAGAAAUUAAUUGGAGAAAAUUCGAAUUCAAGAAGGGGUUUGAAGAAGUGAGGUAUAUGAAACAACUUUGAGGUUGGAAUUGCAAAUCCCCAAUUCAAUUAUCGACAAAAUUAGGGCUGUGUGAACGAGGGGUUAUGACGAUCAAGUCACAUCGUUGGAAAGCUUGGGAAGUCAGAUUUCCAGUGGUGGUGGCCUCCAGCGGUG